AUUGCCGCGUCGUCUUUGGCG
Molecule: microRNA, 21 nt
Filed under: Picea abies (Norway spruce)
Lineage: Eukaryota; Viridiplantae; Streptophyta; Pinopsida; Pinales; Pinaceae
Description: pab-miR11441b
Source: miRBase by way of RNAcentral